UUCAAAUUUCUGCUAGCGCCCAGAUUUCUUUAUUAUUGUUUAUUUUAAAGUUUAAAUGGACGUAUUUACUUUAACUCCUCAGCUGGAUCAUAUUAUUGACUCGAAGGUUAUUAAGGAGGAAAUAGAUACUCUGGAGGUAAGCCUUAAAGUUAACUUAGAGGAAAAUUCGGCUCAUCCAGAAAAAAAUAAACAAGAAGUUUUUAAUAUACAGAAUACUGGACCUUAUGCUAACGAUAUAGAGGCGAUACCGGAUCAAAACAAAGAAAGAACUUUUGCUCUUUCUAAUCCCGCGCUUAACAAAAACUUUAAUUCGGAGGUUAAAGCAACUGUUCAUUCUAUGAAAGUGGAGGGGAACGUCUAUAAGGAAGGAGAAACUGAAGAAAAAGAGGGUUCUGCUGAAACUGAAACAAGUGAAGAAGAAUCUCCUCUGCCUGGACUUUUAGAACAACCUUUGAUACAAGAAGGCCCCCGCCAUCGCCGCUCCACUGAACUUUUCAUUCCAACUGAACUUCAAAAUAGAAAGGAUGUGGAAGUGCCAGAGGGCAAAGGCGAAAAGUUAGGCCAGAUAGCAUAUGUAGCAGAAAUGAUUGGAAAAACUACUGCUGCUGACUUGAGAUUGCUUCACCGUGCUCUCUUCGGACGGCCUGGGAAAUUACGGAAAGUUAAGCACAAUAUUAGGGAAUUUUGCGGCUUUGAUCCUUCUAGCAAAUUCGAAGAGGAAAGAGCUGAAAAGAUUUUAAAUAGAGCUACUUUACAAGAGUUAAAGGACAUGUCUGCCGUACUUGGACUGCAUCGCUCAGGUACGAAAGAUAGCGUAAUUGAGAACAUAUUGGCUUUUUUAAAGGAGCCGAAUAUUGAUUCUGUCCAGAUUAAAAUCACACCCAAAAAAAAAUCUCCAGCGAAAUCUAAUAAACGAAGCAGUUUUAAGAAUAACAGCGAAAAAAUGAAGAAAAGAAAUUUUAAUUCCUCCUACGAAGAAUCCAAUAAAGCUAUGAAAAGCGAAAACAAUCUUUUAUUGGUCACGAUCCAGAAUUCACCGAAAGCGAGGAUGAACAGCAGCCCCCGACUGGGUUUAUUACUGGAGAUGCGCCAUCCAGCGAAGAGCCAGUACUGGAAAAUGGUGAAAGCAUCAUCAGCGAAGAAGUCGUUUUAGAGCAUCUUAAAACUCACGAGGAGGGUAAACGCACAAAAUUUACUUUUCUAGCGCGCUUUAAGCGGCAUCCGCCGAUCCUUGCUUCGCUGUGCGCGUUACUCGACAUCUUCCACGUGGCUGUUCCGCUGCGGGGAUCUUUGUAUUGUUGCUGUCAUCCGCGCACUAUUUGUUAUUAAGCGAUACAGAGCCAACUUUUGCUCAGUAUUUUCCUCGUUUCUCGAAUUUUUAAAGGGCUCUGUGAAAGUUAAUGAACAGAACGGGCUUACGUAAAGUAAAAAAACCACUGGA
Molecule: RNA transcript, 1441 nt
Organism: Zophobas morio
Lineage: Eukaryota; Metazoa; Arthropoda; Insecta; Coleoptera; Tenebrionidae
Gene name: protein DEK-like
Exons: 13
Source: RefSeq, a predicted model, not a curated record